This 253-nucleotide ribosomal RNA is filed under the name uncultured bacterium. Its description in RNAcentral is "partial 16S ribosomal RNA". It matches the Rfam family "Bacterial small subunit ribosomal RNA", at positions 524 to 776 of the family's 1533-position model. The record is from RNAcentral.
UACGGAGGGGGCUAGCGUUGUUCGGAAUUACUGGGCGUAAAGCGCACGUAGGCGGCUUUGCAAGUCAGAGGUGAAAGCCCGGGGCUCAACCCCGGAAUAGCCUUUGAGACUGCAUCGCUUGAACAUCGGAGAGGUAAGUGGAAUUCCGAGUGUAGAGGUGAAAUUCGUAGAUAUUCGGAAGAACACCAGUGGCGAAGGCGACUUACUGGACACAUAUUGACGCUGAGGUGCGAAAGCGUGGGGAGCAAACAGG